RNAcentral lists this ribosomal RNA (468 nucleotides) under uncultured bacterium. Its description in RNAcentral is "partial 16S ribosomal RNA". It matches the Rfam family "Bacterial small subunit ribosomal RNA", at positions 28 to 507 of the family's 1533-position model. The record is from RNAcentral.
GACGAACGCUGGCGGCGUGCUUAACACAUGCAAGUCGAACGGAAAGGCCCUGCUUUUGUGGGGUGCUCGAGUGGCGAACGGGUGAGUAACACGUGAGUAACCUGCCCUUGACUUUGGGAUAACUUCAGGAAACUGGGGCUAAUACCGGAUAGGAGCUCCUGCUGCAUGGUGGGGGUUGGAAAGUUUCGGCGGUUGGGGAUGGACUCGCGGCUUAUCAGCUUGUUGGUGGGGUAGUGGCUUACCAAGGCUUUGACGGGUAGCCGGCCUGAGAGGGUGACCGGCCACAUUGGGAAUGAGAUACGGCCCAGACUCCUACGGGAGGCAGCAGUGGGGAAUAUUGCACAAUGGGCGGAAGCCUGAUGCAGCAACGCCGCGUGCGGGAUGACGGCCUUCGGGUUGUAAACCGCUUUCGCCUGUGACGAAGCGUGAGUGGCGGUAAUGGGUAAAGAAGCACCGGCUAAAUACGUG